GGCGGGGCUGGACCGUGCUCCAUGAAAGAGCGCAAAUGGUGUGAGGCAACAAGCGCACAUGUGCGGUUUGGUAGGGCCACUGCUGAUGAAAAAUCUCCGACUUGCGGCACUGGGAUAAGCCCAACACCUUCAGUGGAGCACCCACGGGGACACUCAUCUCGAAGAACAGACAUUACUGCACCAGGAGCUGUACAUGACCUUUAUCGAUCUGACCAAAGCCUUUGACUGUGUCAACCAUGAGGCUCUGUGGAAAAUCAUGUCAAAGUUCGGCUGCCCAAGCAUUCCGAAACUGGACAGACGUUUGAAUCAGAGCUUCUUACAAAUCUGAGAUGAGCUUCCUCAGAAAUAACGCACCACUUCACCUUAGAAUCAUAGAGUUGGAAGAGACC
This is a long non-coding RNA of Pelodiscus sinensis (Chinese soft-shelled turtle), 389 nucleotides long. RefSeq lists it as uncharacterized. The record is from RefSeq and is a predicted model, not a curated record. NCBI's taxonomy places the organism in Eukaryota, Metazoa, Chordata, Testudines, Trionychidae.